CCGGACGUGGUGCACGAUGCACUCCCGCCUUCUGUUGCAAGUUACUCUAGCAUGUGCGAGCAGCCCGGGUUCGACUCCCGGCGUUCGAA
Molecule: non-coding RNA, 89 nt
Organism: Mycena epipterygia
Lineage: Eukaryota; Fungi; Basidiomycota; Agaricomycetes; Agaricales; Mycenaceae
Source: the annotation of a GenBank genome assembly